CCGGAUCUCGUACGAUCACCGAAGUUAAGCAACAUCGAGCCUGGUCAGUAUUUAGAUGGGUGAACCCUUGUGAAUACCAGGUGCUGUAA
Molecule: non-coding RNA, 89 nt
Organism: Acanthosepion pharaonis
Lineage: Eukaryota; Metazoa; Mollusca; Cephalopoda; Sepiida; Sepiidae
Source: the annotation of a GenBank genome assembly